Molecule: small nucleolar RNA, 97 nt
Filed under: Dasypus novemcinctus (nine-banded armadillo)
Lineage: Eukaryota; Metazoa; Chordata; Mammalia; Cingulata; Dasypodidae
Description: Small nucleolar RNA SNORA44 (ENSDNOG00000039302.1)
Rfam family: Small nucleolar RNA SNORA44
About the family: ACA44 is a member of the H/ACA class of snoRNA that guide the sites of modification of uridines to pseudouridines.
Source: RNAcentral
UAGAAGGAUAUCUGGUUGCUUGUGGUCAAGGGAUCUCCAACUGCAUGCGAGAGCAACCUGGAGAGACUUUGACAGCCCACUCAACUUUCCUAUAAUG